AUCGAAAGAAGUUUUAAGCAAAUCACCGCGCGAAUUAAGGGAAGUUACAGCAACCGCUAGUAGAUACAACCGGUUCCGAUCGGCUAAAGGUGGCCAGGGAAAACAGGAGUAGUAGCCGAUCGUGGAUGGGGAUAACUGAUCAACAGGAACGAUCUAUAAAUAGAACAAUAAUGCCCUGAAAAGAGGUCUUUUUUUCGAGAAUAGAAAACCACCUUUAUUUUCUCUGCAAUUUCUUCGUAUUUCUUAGACUAGUCCACUUGUAAUUCUUUAUUUUUCAGUACUUACUGCUUUUCUUAGGAGUAGAAUUAGACUAGAUCAACCGAGUCUGUAUGCCUUCAGGCACACUCGACCCUUAUACUUUUUUCACAAGUCAUUUUCAAUAUAUAUAAAGGCAUUCGGCUCUUUCAGCCGACCAGUAUCUGUCUUUUCCCAUUCAUUCGGCUCUUCGGCCGACCCUAAUAUUGUGCAGUCCAUACAUUCAGUUCAUUCAGCCGAACCAGUUUUAUAUUGAAGGUUUUCGAACCCGGCUGAUAUGAUCCCUCAUCAGCCGAAUCGCUUGAUUCAGUCGAAGGGCGCAAACUUCGAAGGUCACUAUUCGUAACCGCUCAACAUCUCGACGCGCUUUCUGAGAAAGAUCUUUGACCAGGUCAAAAAAGGGCGAGUUCGGCUCCCAACAAAAUGUAAAAUAAUUAUUUUUCUCUAAAAACUUUUAUUUAACACAAGCACAAACCAAAUACCACACCAAAAAGAAACUCUAUGAUAGAUAUUUUUAAAUUAUCUCUACAUUAAAUAUUAUACAUUUUACAAAUCAAUUUGUAACGAACCAAAUAAUAAAUUUUUUUUUUCUAUCCGCUAUCAUAU
This 861-nucleotide long non-coding RNA is filed under the name Ananas comosus (pineapple). RNAcentral's name for it is "long non-coding RNA (ACOM_LNC015446)". Lineage: Eukaryota; Viridiplantae; Streptophyta; Magnoliopsida; Poales; Bromeliaceae. The record is from RNAcentral.